Molecule: ribosomal RNA, 492 nt
Filed under: uncultured bacterium
Lineage: Bacteria
Description: partial 16S ribosomal RNA
Rfam family: Bacterial small subunit ribosomal RNA
Source: RNAcentral
AGUGAACGCUGGCGGUAGGCCUAACACAUGCAAGUCGAACGGCAGCACAGUAAGAGCUUGCUCUUACGGGUGGCGAGUGGCGGACGGGUGAGGAAUACAUCGGAAUCUACUUUUUCGUGGGGGAUAACGUAGGGAAACUUACGCUAAUACCGCAUACGACCUACGGGUGAAAGCAGGGGAUCUUCGGACCUUGCGCGAUUGAAUGAGCCGAUGUCGGAUUAGCUAGUUGGCGGGGUAAAGGCCCACCAAGGCGACGAUCCGUAGCUGGUCUGAGAGGAUGAUCAGCCACACUGGAACUGAGACACGGUCCAGACUCCUACGGGAGGCAGCAGUGGGGAAUAUUGGACAAUGGGCGAAAGCCUGCUCCAGCCAUACCGCGUGGGUGAAGAAGGCCUUCGGGUUGUAAAGCCCUUUUGUUGGGAAAGAAAAGCAGCAGGUUAAUACCCCGCUGUUCUGACGGUACCCAAAGAAUAAGCACCGGCUAACUUCGUG